GCCUGAAACUAACAAGCUUCCUUUUGUUCCGGGGACACCGCAGCCACCCCGAUUUGCUGACACUUCCGCCGGGCGCCAGCAGGGGGCGGGAGACCCUCUUUUUUGAGGGCCACACGAAGGUGCUCCCGCCGGACCCGCCGUGGGUCUGGGGCAGGCAGGGUCACUGUCGGCACCGAGACCCGGGGGCGAGGGAGGCCGAGAUGGCUCCCCUGGGUGCCUGGGGAGAGGACGGCUCAGGUCAGGGACGCGACACGUUGAAGCCAUCAGAACGGGCAGCAGCAGCGGUUUCAGUUCACGAGGCCAGCCGAGAGUCCCCCGCUAAUCUGUCAGGGACCCCGUGGCGCCCUGCUGCCGCUGAGGAAACAGAGGCCAGAGAGGCCCCGCUUGGGUGACCAGCGCUCUGGUGGAUGUGGACAGCCUCCAAGGUAUAAAAGGGCUGUGACUCCCGACCUGGGCGAGACGCCUCACGCGGCAAGGGACGGAGGCCUGCCCACAGGCACGUGUGUGAACUUGGAAGCAGAACCCCCACCCCGGCCUCCCCGUGGACCCUUCAGAUGAGACCACGGCCCCAGCCUCCGGCACCCGGGCGAGCGGAGCCCGGAUUCCAGGCCCACAGAGACCUCGAGAUUCUAAGAACUGACAGCUGUUUUCAGCGGCCAAGUGUCGUGUUAACUCAUUGGGCGGGGCUGGGUGACACCACAACCCCUCUCUGGGUCGUGUGCGGCCUCCCUUCCCCCGAGGUGCUCGCUGGGCUCCCGCCUCCUCACCUGGUCCCUGCUCAUCAACACACUCUGUUCUCGCUGGGCAGGUGCAGGGCAUGGGCUGAGUUGUGUCCCCCACAUUCUUAGGCUGAAGUCCUGACCCCCAGACCUGUGCAGGUGGCCUUGGCAGGUGAUAUAAUUAAGAUGAGGCCACCAGGGUGGCCCUAAUCCAAUAUGACCGACGUUCUUAUACAGAGGGGAAACUGGCCACAGACCUGUGCACGGGGUGAAUGCCACAGGAGGAUUGGGGUUCUGCUGAUGCCAGGAGCCAUCAGGAGCCCAGAGACAGGCCUGGAGGGUCCUUCCCCGGGGGCCUGCAGGGGGCGUGUGGCCUCUAGGGCCGCCUGGCUGCAUGUCUGUGGUCAAGCCGCCCUGGCCGCGGGCUCCGUCACAGCAGCCCCAGGUCACAGGUGGUUCCAACCCCCCUGUCCCCUCCCCCGGGAGGCUCCAUGACACCCGGAGAGGAAGGGACUCUUGGAGCGGUAGGUCCCUCCUCCUCCAAAAACAGGGGCUCAGAUCCUGGCAGCCUUUGCCCCCGGCAUAAGCGUGUGUCCCUUCGGCCGUGGGGCCCCCGAAUCAGACCCCUAACAUACACACCAAGCCUACGAAGACAGACGUACAGGACAUCCCACUCCGGCCUUGUGAUCGUUUAAACCUCGACAGUGGAAAACUCACUCAGUGCAAACCCUGAAGAGAGCUACACGGUCAGAAGAAUCGGGUGAAGUGGGCAGCCGGUCGCCGAGCAGCUGCUCAGAAGGCGGAGCCCGAGCUCUGCAGGCCCCUUGAAAACAGAAACUCACGAUGCAUACCGGUGGGAAGGACGGGACGGUGUGCGCAGAGGGAAGGGCGGGCCGCGUCUAGUCUGUUCACCUCCGCUCCGUCCUGCUGGGGCUGGAGCCUCGCCAGCCUCCGACGGGGUGCAGGAUGGCCAUGGCCCCACGGCCCGCCACCCCACGCAGGCAUCGUCCCAUGAAGGGGAGACGAGACGGUGGGACCCCAAGGUCUCCGGGUCUAGGAGCGGGGAGAACGGUGGUUCACAAGCCUGUCUCUUGUUCCCCUGGAGGCAGGUGAAGCCCUGGCCCAGCACCUCCCCCCCCACUGGCCUCCCCUCCGCCCUUCCCCCCUCUGCUUUCCUGCCUUCCACGCAGAGGCGCCCAGCAGCUCAGCGGGUCUGGGCUCUCCCCCCUCUCCUCUGCGUCCCGGCCUAGAUCCUCUUCCACCUGCCCUGCAGUUGGGUGGGGCCGGUCACGCUGCGGGUUCCUGCCGCAGAGGGGCGGAUGGGACAGCGCCUGGGAUGGGCUGAAUGUCUGUUUUCUCCCACCAGAUUCCUACGCUAAAGCCCUGGUGUGACGGUGUCAGGAGGGGGCCUUUGGGAGGUGGUUAGUGUCAGAUGAGGUUGCAAGGGUGGGCCCCACAGUGGGAUUAGUGCCCGUCCAAGGAGAAGGAGAGACCCCAGCCCUCGAUCUGCCCUGCAAGGACCCAGAGGGAAGGUGGGAGUCCACAGGCCAGGCCAGGAAGCAGGGCCUCACCGGGACCAGGCCCCGCCGGCACCCCCGCUCUUGGACGUCCGGCCCCCAGAGGCGCGAGACACGGACGUCUGUUG
Long non-coding RNA from Leopardus geoffroyi (Geoffroy's cat), 2364 nucleotides. RefSeq lists it as uncharacterized. The record is from RefSeq and is a predicted model, not a curated record. The transcript has 2 exons. NCBI's taxonomy places the organism in Eukaryota, Metazoa, Chordata, Mammalia, Carnivora, Felidae.